RNAcentral lists this ribosomal RNA (273 nucleotides) under uncultured bacterium. RNAcentral describes it as "partial 16S ribosomal RNA". It matches the Rfam family "Bacterial small subunit ribosomal RNA", at positions 523 to 796 of the family's 1533-position model. The record is from RNAcentral.
AUACGAAGGGUGCUAGCGUGUUCGGAAUUACUGGGCGUAAAGAGCAUGUAGGCGGAUAGAUUAGUCAGGGGUGAAAGCCCCGAGCCCAACUCGGGAACUGCCUUUGAUACUGUUUAUCUAGAGACCGAGAGAGGUGAGUGGAAUUCUCAGUGUAGAGGUGAAAUUCGUAGAUAUUGGGAAGAACACCAGUGGCGAAGGCGGCUCACUGGCUCGGAACUGACGCUGAGAUGCGAAAGCGUGGGGAGCGAACAGGAUUAGAAACCCCAGUAGUCC